Molecule: ribosomal RNA, 372 nt
Filed under: Staphylococcus aureus
Lineage: Bacteria; Bacillati; Bacillota; Bacilli; Caryophanales; Staphylococcaceae
Description: partial 23S ribosomal RNA
Rfam family: Bacterial large subunit ribosomal RNA
Source: RNAcentral
GCUUGCUUGUUGGGGUUGUAGGACACUCUAUACGGAGUUACAAAGGACGACAUUAGACGAAUCAUCUGGAAAGAUGAAUCAAAGAAGGUAAUAAUCCUGUAGUCGAAAAUGUUGUCUCUCUUGAGUGGAUCCUGAGUACGACGGAGCACGUGAAAUUCCGUCGGAAUCUGGGAGGACCAUCUCCUAAGGCUAAAUACUCUCUAGUGACCGAUAGUGAACCAGUACCGUGAGGGAAAGGUGAAAAGCACCCCGGAAGGGGAGUGAAAUAGAACCUGAAACCGUGUGCUUACAAGUAGUCAGAGCCCGUUAAUGGGUGAUGGCGUGCCUUUUGUAGAAUGAACCGGCGAGUUACGAUUUGAUGCAAGGUUAAGC